CGAUACCAGAGUGGCCAAGCAGCAGGCUGACGAGUGGAUGGGAGUGCCACAGGUCAUUGCCCCAGAGGAGUUCAUCGACCCUGGUGUGGAUGAGCAGUCCAUCAUGACUUACCUCUCCAUGUUCCCCAAAGCUCAACUGAAACCUGGAGCCCCCCUCAAUCCCCAAUCAGGUCAAGGGUGGUUUCGUGGGAACCCUAGCAGAGUUCACCAUAGACAUAAACAGCUCCGGCAGCCAUCGGCUCAAGGUGACAGUAGACGGCCCCAGCCCGACGAAAAUAAAGUGUUCCGAUAAUGAGGAUGGAACUUGUACAAGAUAGUUCCUAUAGGGUGGUAUAUCUGCUCCUCAUCGCUGGUGUGUACACGCUACGGCUGAAGUAUGGUGGGAAAGUGGUAGCCAAUUUCGCCUCCGAGGUUGUUGUGCAUCCGGCUGUUUACAAGAGGCAAGUGAAGGUGUCUGGGACUGGAGCUGAAAGGGAAGCAGGUCUGAAUGGCCUUGACAGAGAAUGUGACCCAGCCAGAUUGUUUGCAAAUGGCAUAGGACUUCUAGGUCAGAGUAACAGUUUCAACAUCACAACCAGGGGUACUCGAGCAGGUGGCUUGGCCAUCACUGUGGAGGGCCCAUUGGAUGUGCAGGUCACCUUCACAGAGAAACAAGAUGGAUGCUA
This 665-nucleotide long non-coding RNA is filed under the name Salmo salar (Atlantic salmon). RNAcentral's name for it is "lncRNA (ENSSSAG00000120824.1)". Lineage: Eukaryota; Metazoa; Chordata; Actinopteri; Salmoniformes; Salmonidae. The record is from RNAcentral.